GGGCCGUUAGCUCAGUUGGUAGAGCAACUGACUUUUAAUCAGUUGGCCGCAGGUUCGAAUCCUGCACGGCUCACCA
RNAcentral lists this transfer RNA (76 nucleotides) under Pelagimonas varians. RNAcentral describes it as "tRNA-Lys". It matches the Rfam family "tRNA". Rfam says of the family: Transfer RNA (tRNA) molecules are approximately 80 nucleotides in length. RNAcentral also lists the same sequence under 5 other names. The record is from RNAcentral. Lineage: Bacteria; Pseudomonadati; Pseudomonadota; Alphaproteobacteria; Rhodobacterales; Roseobacteraceae.